Molecule: ribosomal RNA, 461 nt
Filed under: uncultured bacterium
Lineage: Bacteria
Description: bacterial SSU rRNA
Rfam family: Bacterial small subunit ribosomal RNA
Source: RNAcentral
UACGGGAGGCAGCAGUGGGGAAUAUUGCACAAUGGGCGAAAGCCUGAUGCAGCUAUGCCGCGUGUAUGAAGAAGGCCUUAGGGUUGUAAAGUACUUUCAUCGGGGAGGAAAAAACAAAACUAAUAAUUUUAUUUCUUGACGUUACCCGAAAAAGAAGCACCGGCUAACUCCGUGCCAGCAGCCGCGGUAAUACGGAGGGUGCUAGCGUUAAUCAGAAUUACUGGGCGUAAAGAGCACGUAGGUGGUUUUUUUAAGUCAGAUGUGAAAUCCCUGGGCUUAACCUAGGAACUGCAUUUUGAAACUGAAAUACUAGAGUAUCGUAGAGGGAGGUAGAAUUCUAGGUGUAGCGGUGAAAUGCGUAGAUAUCUGGAGGAAUACCUGUGGCGAAAGCGGCCUCCUAAACGAAUACUGACACUGAGGUGCGAAAGCGUGGGGAGCAAACGAGGGAUUAGGAUACCCGU